ACGAGAUCCACAAUUAUGUUCCGUCGUGCACAAAUUACAAUAUAUUCACGACAUACGGGAAUGAGAGUAUCGCAAUCUCCUUCAUCAUGCAUACCUCUUCAAGUCUUCAAGAUUCUUGUUGUCCAUUCCAAGAUUCACGCGGACGCCAGAUCUUUGCUUGGGCUAAGAAGAAUAAUGACUAAAACGACAAAGGCCACAACUGUACAGCCAAAUGCAGCAAUUGCAGAUGCUGCGAGGCCGCCUCGUUCUCUUGGGUCCUUGCGAUAACGUUUGCUGAAAUACAGAAUCGUCGCAUAAUACCACAUUACAGGGCACAGAAACCCUACAAGAAAAGAAAACCAUCCAAUACCACAGCCAAAACAUGGAAGUGGUUUGCUAAACAUGCCCAAUCGAGAAUCCUCUUCAUCCCCAAUCAAAAUAUACUUCCCACUGCGGUCCUUAAUAUGUUCGUCAUGUUGCCCUAUAAGCUUCAUUUCGGAUGAGGAUACUGUAUCAUGUUCAAGACUUGAUAUUUGAGAAUUGGCUUGCUUCAUGGGCAUGAGUUUCAAUCACAUAUAGACCUUGUAUCUUCUGCCAGCCUCCAAGAACUUGUGAGAAUCUGAACCGUGAGGAGAGGGGCGAGGAUCGAGUAUAUAUACGGGGGAUUAAUAUUUAGGGAGAGUGACGGAAAGCGAGAGGGGGGACUAUUGGCCUCCCUCUUUUGAAAACCGAGGACAGCCG
Molecule: unclassified non-coding RNA, 720 nt
Filed under: Hevea brasiliensis (rubber tree)
Lineage: Eukaryota; Viridiplantae; Streptophyta; Magnoliopsida; Malpighiales; Euphorbiaceae
Source: RNAcentral